GAAUAUGAUGAGAGUUAUUGUCGCCCCAGUCUUACGAACUUCGUUAACGUACGUGGUUCCCUGGUGAUAGACAUAUUUACAAUCUGAUUCUUUGUAUUUUAAAAUUUUGGUCGUCUAUUUUCAUUUUAGUAUGAGAUUUGGGGAAUUUGUAGAGGUGAUUUGAUUUGGAAAAGAUUGAAGUGAUGAUUUAUUUUACCCAAUAUUGUCUGCACUAUGGUAUGAUGAUCUAUAAUACAUGCACUACCAUCUGAUCAAUCUUUUACUCACUCUGUUUUUUCAAUAUUUCCUAAUUUUUUGUAAAUCCCAAAUUAAAAAUGCAUACGGUGCAAUCGAUGAUGCAAAUCUACAUUUUAAACUGAUGUUUUGCUGUGAUUAACUUAAAUUUAUCACCAUCUUUCGGCUGAGAUUGCAUUAGAAGGUGUUAUUUAUUUAAAAUGCCCUAUGGUAUCUGAUGCCUUGACCUAAUUAAUGUUUUAGGCAUCUCGUUAGACGGGCAGAUAGCGAUGAAAACAGGUUUGCGACACAGUUUGCUGCUACAUUUCUAAGCUUACUGUUACUUUUAUUACUGUUCACAUUUUUUAGUAUUUUUGUGACACGCAAUUUUUUUAGGGCAGUGAUGAGAAAUUAGGAAAGUCAUGCACCACUCUGAUACUCAUUGUGAUUGAUAAACUUUCUCAUAACCCAUAUUUUUGUAUCUGAGCCC
RNAcentral lists this long non-coding RNA (703 nucleotides) under Helianthus annuus (common sunflower). The record is from RNAcentral. Lineage: Eukaryota; Viridiplantae; Streptophyta; Magnoliopsida; Asterales; Asteraceae.